RNAcentral lists this ribosomal RNA (442 nucleotides) under uncultured bacterium. RNAcentral's name for it is "partial 16S ribosomal RNA". It matches the Rfam family "Bacterial small subunit ribosomal RNA", at positions 338 to 795 of the family's 1533-position model. The record is from RNAcentral.
CCUACGGGAGGCAGCAGUAGGGAAUCUUUCACAAUGGGCGAAAGCCUGAUGGAGCAACGCCGCGUGCAGGAUGAAGGCCUUCGGGUUGUAAACUGCUUUUAUAAGCGAGAAAUAUGAUGGUAACUUAUGAAUAAGGAUCGGCUAACUACGUGCCAGCAGCCGCGGUCAUACGUAGGAUCCGAGCAUUAUACGGAGUGACUGGGUGUAAAGAGUUGCGUAUGUGGCAUAAUAAGUAGCUAGUGAAAUCUGGUGGCUCAACCAUUCAGACUAUUAGCUAAACUGUUAAGCUCGAGACCGUUAGGGGUAACUGGAAUUUCUAGUGUAGGAGUGAAAUGCGUAGAUAUUAGAAGGAACACCAAUAGCGUAGGCAGGUUACUGGGACGGUUCUGACACUAAGGCACGAAAGCGUAGGGAGCAAACGGGAUUAGAUACCCCAGUAGUC